Long non-coding RNA from Astyanax mexicanus (Mexican tetra), 366 nucleotides. RefSeq lists it as uncharacterized. NCBI's taxonomy places the organism in Eukaryota, Metazoa, Chordata, Actinopteri, Characiformes, Acestrorhamphidae. The transcript is spliced from 5 exons. The record is from RefSeq and is a predicted model, not a curated record.
CUGGUGGGCAUGCGCAGCAGUGCACGCGCGCCGUUGUUCGUUAAAUUAAAAUAAUGAGCCGAUUCUGAUUCAGUAGCUCAGAGCUUCGGUACAGACUGAGAGAAACACGACGGAAAAGAAAAAAGAAACAUUUUCAGAGAAGAGGGAGUGAGGAGAAAAGCAGAACAAGGAGAGAGUGUUAAAGCAACAAUGACAUGUAUUCAACAUUGGUUUAAAGGGUCCUGAAGCAAUGCAUGAGAUGGCAGUGUCACGACAUCAACUGGAGAAAACUUUGAGUGGAAAGUGUGUGUGGUGAGGGGGGUCAAACAUCAGCUCCUGUCGUCCGUGGCAAAUAAGUGUUCACUCAUCGCUGCAGCUGCAUCGCCG